UCGAGAAUCUUCGGCAAUGGGCGCAAGCCCGACCGAGCGACGCCGCGUGGAGGACGAAGGCCUUCGGGUUGUAAACUCCUGUCGAGGGGAAUCAAGGGGGCGUGAAGAACGCCCCUCGAGAGCUCCCUGGAGGAAGCACGGGCUAAGUUCGUGCCAGCAGCCGCGGUAAGACGAACCGUGCGAACGUUAUUCGGAAUCAUUGGGCUUAAAGGGCGCGUAGGCGGGUCGACACGUCGGAACUGAAAUCCCCCGGCUCAACCGGGGAACGGGCUCCGAUACGGUUGGCCUCGAGGUGAGGAGGGGGACCUGGAACGUCCGGUGGAGCGGUGAAAUGCGUUGAGAUCGGACGGAACGCCGAUGGCGAAAGCAGGGUCCUGGGCUCAUAUCUGACGCUGAGGCGCGAAAGCCAGGGGAGCGAACGG
Molecule: ribosomal RNA, 422 nt
Filed under: uncultured bacterium
Lineage: Bacteria
Description: bacterial SSU rRNA
Rfam family: Bacterial small subunit ribosomal RNA
Source: RNAcentral